RNAcentral lists this ribosomal RNA (159 nucleotides) under uncultured bacterium. RNAcentral's name for it is "partial 16S ribosomal RNA". It matches the Rfam family "Bacterial small subunit ribosomal RNA", at positions 355 to 507 of the family's 1533-position model. The record is from RNAcentral.
UGGGGAAUAUUGGACAAUGGGCGCAAGCCUGAUCCAGCAAUACCGCGUGUGUGAAGAAGGCCUGAGGGUUGUAAAGCACUUUUAAUAGGGAGGAACAUCUGCUGGCCAAUACCCGGUAGUCUGACAUUACCUAUAGAAAAAGCACCGGCUAACUCCGUG